CUGCUGCCCCAGUGUCUAGUUUAAAUGACACAACCUCCCCAUUGAGUUUAAUGUCUGAAUGCCAGCUAGCCUUGUUUUCCCUUACUUCUCCCAGAAAGAUGCUGUCCUGCUGUGCCUCCUCUGAGACCUCAUGCAUUUGCGUUAAUCGACAGACAGCUGAAAAGUGUCCUCUCCUGUGACAUUUCCUGCAUUCCGCAUCCUUUGCUGGGCAAUCUUUCCAUCUGUUGAAAUGGGAUUUCCCACAUUUGCGACAAACACUUGAACUAGCUACUGGUGCUGUCUGUGAUUGUUUUCUCCACGUCUGUCUCCGUUCCGUGUUCCCCUCCGUUUUUUUUUAGCUCGGUAUGAAAAUGCAUUUAUUUCCUCACUCUCUUUGCUCUGCAAGGAGCUGCUGUCUUUUUACUGCCUCACUCGGCCUAACCUGGUUUACAGCUUUGGACAAGGAGCAUGCUAUUCCCGUCAGUGGCGUAUGCUUGAGCUUGCUGAGUGAUCCCGACGUGGGCAUCAUCACAGUGAGUGGUAUGAAUCUCAC
RNAcentral lists this long non-coding RNA (532 nucleotides) under Salmo salar (Atlantic salmon). Its description in RNAcentral is "lncRNA (ENSSSAG00000091883.1)". The record is from RNAcentral. Lineage: Eukaryota; Metazoa; Chordata; Actinopteri; Salmoniformes; Salmonidae.